This 403-nucleotide ribosomal RNA is filed under the name uncultured bacterium. RNAcentral's name for it is "partial 16S ribosomal RNA". It matches the Rfam family "Bacterial small subunit ribosomal RNA", at positions 29 to 526 of the family's 1533-position model. The record is from RNAcentral.
AUUGAACGCUGGUGGCAGGCCUAACACAUGCAAGUCGAGCGAGCGGCGGACGGGUGAGUAAUGUAUGGGGACUGCCCGAUAGCGGGGGAUAACUACUGGAAACGGUAGCUAAUACCGCAUACUAUCGGAUAACCCAUAUGGGAUUAGCUAGUAGGUGAGGUAAUGGCUCACCUAGGCGAAGUUCCCUAGCUGGUCUGCGAGGAUGAUCAGGCAGACGGGGACUAGGACCCGGGCCAGAGUCCGACGGAGGCAGCAGUGGGGAAAAGUGCACAAUGGGGGCAAGGCUGAUGCAGCCAUGGCGCGUGGAUGAAGAAGUCCCUAGGGUUGUAAGGUACUUUCAGUCGGGAGGCGUUACCGACAGAAGAAGCACCGGCUAACGCCGUGCCAGGAGCCGCGGUAAUAC